CCCGGCUAGUGCCGGAAGGUCAAGGAAGUUGAUGACCUAAUGAUAGAAGAGCCGGUGACCAAAGUCCCGGUGAACGGCGACCGUAACCAUAACAGUCCUAAGAUAACGAAAUUUCUUGUCAGGUAAAUUCCGACCCGCACAAAAGG
This 146-nucleotide ribosomal RNA is filed under the name Daucus carota subsp. sativus. RNAcentral's name for it is "rRNA LSU_rRNA_eukarya". It matches the Rfam family "Bacterial large subunit ribosomal RNA", at positions 1858 to 1999 of the family's 2925-position model. The record is from RNAcentral. Lineage: Eukaryota; Viridiplantae; Streptophyta; Magnoliopsida; Apiales; Apiaceae.